UUCUCCAAACGAUUCUAUGGUUCCUUCUUUGAAUUUUAUCUAUUUUUUCCCUUACCACUUUGAUAAAUCUCUCUCUCUCUCUCUCUCUUGAUUUUUCAAUCUUUAUAACUUUGAAUUGAAUGUCCAUGCAAUCUUUUCAACCAAGUGUCAUCUUUAUUAAGUAAACCCAAUCUGUUUUGAUCAGUGAAAAACUGAAUUGUUACCGCCAGAUUUCAAUUUUAUGUCGCCUCUCUUGAGUGAUUUAGGAACCGAAGAAGCCAAUUUUAUGAGCUUCUUGAUCCGACCUUGACGAGUCUGCAAUGAUGUCUGAAUUUGAUUUCUCCAGAGAACAAACACUGUGAUUGUACCAGAGACGACAGUGAUCUAGCAUAAGCAUAUACCAUUAAAAGAGAAGAUUGAACAAAGGGUGCGACUAACAAACGUUUGAAGGAGCAUGAAGAACUCUGUUUCAGAUCAUGGUUUUUACAUUGAGAGCGAUGAAGAUAAUGAGUUGGGAAAAGAAGAAAAUGAUGGCAAUGAAUCAGACUAUUCCAAUGAUUCUGAUGACAAUCAGGGACAGAGAAAACCCAGUUCUUACAGCAUGGCAUGGCCUCAAAGUUACAGGCAAUCCAUUGAUCUAUAUGGUAGUGUGCCAUCGCCAAAUAUUGGAUUUCUGGGCACCCCAUCAUUGUCAAGAUUAGGCAGUUCAUUUCUUGCUUCAACUUUGACAAGGAGGCAAACUCCUGAAAUCAUACCAUCAGUGAAGAAACCUCUGUUGCAACCGACAGUUGAUGAACAACAACGUCGUAGCUCUCACACAUUGCUUCCUCCUCACCCAACUAGGAGGUCUUCCAUUAAGAAGGAUGUUUCAAAGAUUUCUCAUGAAGUUCAUAUUCCUGGCCAAUGCACUUUUGGACAAGCUGUGCUUAAUGGCAUAAAUGCCCUUUGUGGAGUAGGAAUCCUUUCAACCCCUUUUGCCCUUAAAGAAGGUGGAUGGGCUGCACUUUCUAUCUUGAUUAUAUUUGCAGUUUUCUCCUUUUAUACUGGCUUGCUUUUGCGUUAUUGUUUGGAUAGUGAACCUGGCCUUGAGACUUACCCUGACAUUGGCCAAGCAGCUUUUGGUACUACUGGACGUGUUGUCAUUUCAAUAAUAUUAUACAUGGAAUUAUAUGCUUGUUGCAUUGAAUACAUAAUUCUAGAAAGCGACAACUUGUCUUCCUUAUUUCCAAAUGCACAUUUAAGUUUUGGUGGAAUUGAAUUGAAUGCACACAUUCUAUUUGCAAUCUUGACCACCUUGGCCAUUCUUCCUACCGUUUGGCUUCGGGACCUUCGCAUUCUAAGUUACAUAUCAGCUUGUGGAGUUAUUGCAACGGUUGCAGUGGUUCUUUGCUUGUUGUGGGUUGGCGUGGUAGAUGAUGUUCCCAUUCAUACAAAAGGAACAACAACACUGAACCUCUCAACUUUCCCUGUUGCGAUGGGUCUCUAUGGUUACUGCUUCGCUGGACAUGCUGUGUUCCCUAACCUAUACAGAGCUAUGGCAAAUAGAAAUCAAUUCCCUGCCGUGCUCUUGACAUGUUUUGCUAUUUGUACAGCUAUGUAUUUUAGUGUAGCUGUAAUGGGAUACUCAAUGUUUGGAGAAACUACACUGUCUCAGUAUACUCUUAACAUGCCAAAAGACUUGGUUGCCUCCAAGAUUGCUGUGUGGACUACGGUGGUUAAUCCAUUUACCAAAUAUGCUUUGAGUCUAACUCCAGUAGCAAUGAGUCUUGAGGAAUUGAUACCAUCAAAUAAUCCCAACUUCCAGUUCUACUCCAUCUGCAUCAGAACAGCACUAGUUGUUUCUACACUACUUGUUGGUCUUUCAGUUCCCUUUUUCGGUUUGGUAAUGUCAUUAACUGGGUCUUUGUUCACCAUGUUUGUUUCCCUUAUUCUACCAUCUGCUUGCUUCCUAAGCAUCAAGGGUGGUAUAAUUUCGCGCUAUCAGUAGCAAUGUGAUAUCAGAUGGUACAAUGGGGAAAUCCAUAUUUAUGGCGCCCAAACUUUCAAAGUCUCAUCUUCAGAGGCAAAACCUUGGAGACGGAUCAUCAGAGUCAGAUCCUUAGGCUCAGUUACUUAGAGACAGAUCCUUAGAGGCAUCACCUUUGGAGGGAACACUUCCUCUUAUCCAAGGAGUGUGAUGAGACUCAUCACGAAGGAGAAAACUUUUUUUGAAUCAAAGAUCCAAAUAUUUAUAGUUGAAAGAUUAGAACUUUAGCAUCAAAACAUUUCAUAUGGCGGCUAGCUCAAGGAGAAAGACGAAUAAAAUUAUUAGGAUGAGCUUUAUGGUGGAGCUGGAACUAUCGAUUCAGUGGAGAUGAUGAGCGAUUACUUUGAUGAUUGAUUUAAAGCUAGAGAUGGAGUGUAUGGACCGAUUUCGGACACAGCCACACCUUGCAUUGAGUGAGGUAGGGGAUAAUGAGCUUUUGCUUAAUGAUUUUAAAUAGAUGAAAUUUUGUUGCUUUAUUGCAGACAAACUCUAACAAGACUCUAGUGUAACACCAUUAAUUUUAUCUUACCCUACUUAUUUGUUUAAACAAUAUUUGUUAGUAAUGAUAUUGGUAUGAAAAUAUCUUACCCUA
Cicer arietinum (chickpea) is the source of this 2597-nucleotide non-coding RNA. NCBI's taxonomy places the organism in Eukaryota, Viridiplantae, Streptophyta, Magnoliopsida, Fabales, Fabaceae. The record is from RefSeq and is a predicted model, not a curated record.